This 596-nucleotide ribosomal RNA is filed under the name Rhodotorula kratochvilovae. RNAcentral describes it as "eukaryotic LSU rRNA". It matches the Rfam family "Eukaryotic large subunit ribosomal RNA", at positions 67 to 670 of the family's 3401-position model. The record is from RNAcentral. Lineage: Eukaryota; Fungi; Basidiomycota; Microbotryomycetes; Sporidiobolales; Sporidiobolaceae.
AAAAGGGGGUUUCCCCUUAGUAGCGCGCGAGCGAAGCGGGAAGAGCUCAAAUUUAUAAUCUGGCACCUUCGGUGUCCGAGUUGUAAUCUCUAGAAGUGUUUUCCGCGUUGGACCGCACACAAGUCUGUUGGAAUACAGCGGCACAGUGGUGAUACCCCCGUACACGGUGCGGACGCCCAGCGCUUUGUGAUACACUUUCAAUGAGUCGAGUUGUUUGGGAAUGCAGCUCAAAUUGGGUGGUAAAUUCCAUCUAAAGCUAAAUAUUGGCGAGAGACCGAUAGCGAACAAGUACCGUGAGGGAAAGAUGAAAAGCACUUUGGAAAGAGAGUUAACAGUACGUGAAAUUGUUGGAAGGGAAACGCUUGAAGUCAGACUUGCUUGCCGGAGCUUGCUUCGGUUUGCAGGCCAGCAUCAGUUUUCCGGGGUGGAUAAUGGUGGUUUGAAGGUAGCAGCCUCGGCUGUGUUAUAGCUUUCCACUGGAUACAUCCUGGGGGACUGAGGAACGCAGCGUGCUUUUUGCGAAGGUUUCGACCUUUUCACGCUUAGGAUGCUGGUGUAAUGACUUUAAACGACCCGUCUUGAAACCACGGACCAAA